This 87-nucleotide transfer RNA is filed under the name Mus musculus (house mouse). RNAcentral describes it as "tRNA-Lys". The record is from RNAcentral. Lineage: Eukaryota; Metazoa; Chordata; Mammalia; Rodentia; Muridae.
AUAUGGGUAGUUCAGUUGGUAGAGCAUCAGGCUUUUAAUCUGGGGCGUGGGGGGGGGGCGUCCAAGGUUCAAAUCUUUAUUCAGGCA